GACAGAGGGUGCAAACGUUGUUCGGAAUUACUGGGCGUAAAGCGCGUGUAGGCGGUUCUGUAAGUCGGGUGUGAAAGCCCGGGGCUCAACCCCGGAAGUGCACUCGAAACUGCAGAACUGGAGUCUCGGAGAGGAAAGCGGAAUUCUGGGUGUAGAGGUGAAAUUCGUAGAUAUCCAGAGGAACACCGGUGGCGAAGGCGGCUUUCUGGACGAGUACUGACGCUGAGACGCGAAAGCGUGGGGAGCAAACAGG
This 253-nucleotide unclassified non-coding RNA is filed under the name uncultured Myxococcales bacterium. RNAcentral's name for it is "contains 16S-23S intergenic spacer region". It matches the Rfam family "Bacterial small subunit ribosomal RNA", at positions 524 to 776 of the family's 1533-position model. Lineage: Bacteria; Pseudomonadati; Myxococcota; Myxococcia; Myxococcales. The record is from RNAcentral.